GAUGAACGCUGGCGGCGUGCUUAACACAUGCAAGUCGAACGGUGAAGCCAAGCUUGCUUGGUGGAUCAGUGGCGAACGGGUGAGUAACACGUGAGCAACCUGCCCUGGACUCUGGGAUAAGCGCUGGAAACGGCGUCUAAUACUGGAUAUGAGCCCCUAUCGCAUGGUGGGGGUUGGAAAGAUUUUUUGGUCUGGGAUGGGCUCGCGGCCUAUCAGCUUGUUGGUGAGGUAAUGGCUCACCAAGGCGUCGACGGGUAGCCGGCCUGAGAGGGUGACCGGCCACACUGGGACUGAGACACGGCCCAGACUCCUACGGGAGGCAGCAGUGGGGAAUAUUGCACAAUGGGCGAAAGCCUGAUGCAGCAACGCCGCGUGAGGGAUGACGGCCUUCGGGUUGUAAACUUCUUUUAGCAGGGAAGAAGCGAAAGUGACGGUACCUGCAGAAAAAGCGCCGGCUAACUACGUGCCAGCAGCCGCGGUAAUACGUAGGGCGCAAGCGUUAUCCGGAAUUAUUGGGCGUAAAGAGCUCGUAGGCGGUUUGUCGCGUCUGCUGUGAAAUCCCGAGGCUCAACCUCGGGCCUGCAGUGGGUACGGGCAGACUAGAGUGCGGUAGGGGAGAUUGGAAUUCCUGGUGUAGCGGUGGAAUGCGCAGAUAUCAGGAGGAACACCGAUGGCGAAGGCAGAUCUCUGGGCCGUAACUGACGCUGAGGAGCGAAAGGGUGGGGAGCAAACAGGCUUAGAUACCCUGGUAGUCCACCCCGUAAACGUUGGGAACUAGUUGUGGGGACCAUUCCACGGUUUCCGUGACGCAGCUAACGCAUUAAGUUCCCCGCCUGGGGAGUACGGCCGCAAGGCUAAAACUCAAAGGAAUUGACGGGGACCCGCACAAGCGGCGGAGCAUGCGGAUUAAUUCGAUGCAACGCGAAGAACCUUACCAAGGCUUGACAUAUACGAGAACGGGCCAGAAAUGGUCAACUCUUUGGACACUCGUAAACAGGUGGUGCAUGGUUGUCGUCAGCUCGUGUCGUGAGAUGUUGGGUUAAGUCCCGCAACGAGCGCAACCCUCGUUCUAUGUUGCCAGCACGUAAUGGUGGGAACUC
This 1100-nucleotide ribosomal RNA is filed under the name uncultured bacterium. RNAcentral describes it as "bacterial SSU rRNA". It matches the Rfam family "Bacterial small subunit ribosomal RNA", at positions 28 to 1140 of the family's 1533-position model. The record is from RNAcentral.